GUUCAAGCAAUCAUUCACAACCUGGCAAAAGAACAUUACAAAUAAACAAGCAUACAAGAGCAGGAGGGCAAUGCAUAGGUUCAUGAAACCUUCUUAUGGAUGAGAGUCAUGAGACCCUUUUCACCAGAGUGAGAAGUACAGAAAGAAUAGCAACAAGUAAAACAGAAGUGAAAUUUAUUAGAAAUCAUAACCACAUAUGGACACUCAAAAUACAUUACUUAGAUGGAAAAAGAAAAAAGAAAAACAAACUUUUUUGCAGUACAGUAGGUUUUUUAAACUAUAAAACUGACUAAAAAAGGAUCACAACCUAAAUGGGCAAAUAUUUUAAAGUCACUAACAAGGAAGCAAAUGACUACUAAUAAAAGGAAAAUUUAUAAGAGAAACCUGAAUACUAAAUUAAGAACUAAAUCAAAAUAAUUAAAUAUUAAGAGCCUGUUUAUGCUUGUGUAAAACAAUUAUCUGUUUUUAAUUUU
RNAcentral lists this unclassified non-coding RNA (473 nucleotides) under Hevea brasiliensis (rubber tree). The record is from RNAcentral. Lineage: Eukaryota; Viridiplantae; Streptophyta; Magnoliopsida; Malpighiales; Euphorbiaceae.